Hyaena hyaena (striped hyena) is the source of this 95-nucleotide long non-coding RNA. RefSeq lists it as uncharacterized. The transcript has 4 exons. The record is from RefSeq and is a predicted model, not a curated record. Lineage: Eukaryota; Metazoa; Chordata; Mammalia; Carnivora; Hyaenidae.
AUUUUGAGGGUUUCCUGUUUCAGAUUUUGGUCUUUCAUCCAUUUUGAAUUUCUUUUUGUGUAUAGUGUAAGAAAUUGGCUCAGUUUCAUUCUGCA